Small nucleolar RNA from Humulus lupulus (European hop), 107 nucleotides. Lineage: Eukaryota; Viridiplantae; Streptophyta; Magnoliopsida; Rosales; Cannabaceae. The record is from RefSeq and is a predicted model, not a curated record.
AUGCCAUGAUGGGGACAUUUUCUCAGCAACUCCUUGAACCUUUCCCAAAAGUCAUACAAAGAUUCACCAACCAGGUGAUAGAAAUUAUUGAUCUCCACUCUCAAUUU